RNAcentral lists this ribosomal RNA (495 nucleotides) under uncultured bacterium. RNAcentral describes it as "partial 16S ribosomal RNA". It matches the Rfam family "Bacterial small subunit ribosomal RNA", at positions 28 to 507 of the family's 1533-position model. The record is from RNAcentral.
GACGAACGCUGGCGGCGUGCCUAAUACAUGCAAGUAGAACGCUGAAGGAGGAGCUUGCUUCUCUGGAUGAGUUGCGAACGGGUGAGUAACGCGUAGGUAACCUGCCUGGUAGCGGGGGAUAACUAUUGGAAACGAUAGCUAAUACCGCAUAACAGUAGAUAUCGCAUGAUAUCUACUUGAAAGUUGCAAUUGCAUCACUACCAGAUGGACCUGCGUUGUAUUAGCUAGUUGGUGAGGUAACGGCUCACCAAGGCGACGAUACAUAGCCGACCUGAGAGGGUGAUCGGCCACACUGGGACGGAGACACGGCCCAGACUCCUACGGGAGGCAGCAGUAGGGAAUCUUCGGCAAUGGACGGAAGUCUGACCGAGCAACGCCGCGUGAGUGAAGAAGGUUUUCGGAUCGUAAAGCUCUGUUGUAAGAGAAGAACGAGUGUGAGAGUGGAAAGUUCACACUGUGACGGUAUCUGACCAGAAAGGGACGGCUAACUACGUG